AGAGUUUGAUCCUGGCUCAGAUUGAACGCUGGCAGCAGGCCUAACACAUGCAAGUCGAGCGGUAGCACAGAGAGCUUGCUCUCGGGUGACGAGCGGCGGACGGGUGAGUAAUGUCUGGGAAACUGCCUGAUGGAGGGGGAUAACUACUGGAAACGGUAGCUAAUACCGCAUAAUGUCGCAAGACCAAAGUGGGGGACCUUCGGGCCUCAUGCCAUCAGAUGUGCCCAGAUGGGAUUAGCUAGUAGGUGGGGUAACGGCUCACCUAGGCGACGAUCCCUAGCUGGUCUGAGAGGAUGACCAGCCACACUGGAACUGAGACACGGUCCAGACUCCUACGGGAGGCAGCAGUGGGGAAUAUUGCACAAUGGGCGCAAGCCUGAUGCAGCCAUGCCGCGUGUGUGAAGAAGGCCUUCGGGUUGUAAAGCACUUUCAGCGGGGAGGAAGGCGGUGAGGUUAAUAACCUCAUCGAUUGACGUUACCCGCAGAAGAAGCACCGGCUAACUCCGUGCCAGCAGCCGCGGUAAUACGGAGGGUGCAAGCGUUAAUCGGAAUUACUGGGCGUAAAGCGCACGCAGGCGGUCUGUCAAGUCGGAUGUGAAAUCCCCGGGCUCAACCUGGGAACUGCAUUCGAAACUGGCAGGCUAGAGUCUUGUAGAGGGGGGUAGAAUUCCAGGUGUAGCGGUGAAAUGCGUAGAGAUCUGGAGGAAUACCGGUGGCGAAGGCGGCCCCCUGGACAAAGACUGACGCUCAGGUGCGAAAGCGUGGGGAGCAAACAGGAUUAGAUACCCUGGUAGUCCACGCCGUAAACGAUGUCGAUUUGGAGGUUGUGCCCUUGAGGCGUGGCUUCCGGAGCUAACGCGUUAAAUCGACCGCCUGGGGAGUACGGCCGCAAGGUUAAAACUCAAAUGAAUUGACGGGGGCCCGCACAAGCGGUGGAGCAUGUGGUUUAAUUCGAUGCAACGCGAAGAACCUUACCUGGUCUUGACAUCCACAGAACUUUCCAGAGAUGGAUUGGUGCCUUCGGGAACUGUGAGACAGGUGCUGCAUGGCUGUCGUCAGCUCGUGUUGUGAAAUGUUGGGUUAAGUCCCGCAACGAGCGCAACCCUUAUCCUUUGUUGCCAGCGGUUAGGCCGGGAACUCAAAGGAGACUGCCAGUGAUAAACUGGAGGAAGGUGGGGAUGACGUCAAGUCAUCAUGGCCCUUACGACCAGGGCUACACACGUGCUACAAUGGCAUAUACAAAGAGAAGCGACCUCGCGAGAGCAAGCGGACCUCAUAAAGUAUGUCGUAGUCCGGAUUGGAGUCUGCAACUCGACUCCAUGAAGUCGGAAUCGCUAGUAAUCGUAGAUCAGAAUGCUACGGUGAAUACGUUCCCGGGCCUUGCACACACCGCCCGUC
RNAcentral lists this ribosomal RNA (1398 nucleotides) under uncultured bacterium. RNAcentral's name for it is "bacterial SSU rRNA". It matches the Rfam family "Bacterial small subunit ribosomal RNA". The record is from RNAcentral.